RNAcentral lists this ribosomal RNA (253 nucleotides) under uncultured bacterium. Its description in RNAcentral is "partial 16S ribosomal RNA". It matches the Rfam family "Bacterial small subunit ribosomal RNA", at positions 524 to 776 of the family's 1533-position model. The record is from RNAcentral.
UACGUAGGGUGCAAGCGUUAUUCGGAAUUACUGGGCGUAAAGCGUGCGCAGGCGGCUUUGCAAGACAGAUGUGAAAUCCCCGGGCUUAACCUGGGAACUGCAUUUGUGACUGCAUGGCUGGAGUGCGGCAGAGGGGGAUGGAAUUCCGCGUGUAGCAGUGAAAUGCGUAGAUAUGCGGAGGAACACCGAUGGCGAAGGCAAUCCCCUGGGCCUGCACUGACGCUCAGGCACGAAAGCGUGGGGAGCAAACAGG